This 710-nucleotide ribosomal RNA is filed under the name uncultured Clostridium sp. Its description in RNAcentral is "bacterial SSU rRNA". It matches the Rfam family "Bacterial small subunit ribosomal RNA", at positions 28 to 766 of the family's 1533-position model. The record is from RNAcentral. Lineage: Bacteria; Bacillati; Bacillota; Clostridia; Eubacteriales; Clostridiaceae.
GAUGAACGCUGGCGGCGUGCCUAACACAUGCAAGUCGAGCGAUCUUCUUCGGAAGAGAGCGGCGGACGGGUGAGUAACGCGUGGGUAACCUGCCCUGUACACACGGAUAACAUACCGAAAGGUAUGCUAAUACGGGAUAACAUAAGAAAGUCGCAUGGCUUUCUUAUCAAAGCUUUUGCGGUACAGGAUGGACCCGCGUCUGAUUAGCUAGUUGGUAAGGUAACGGCUUACCAAGGCGACGAUCAGUAGCCGACCUGAGAGGGUGAUCGGCCACAUUGGAACUGAGACACGGUCCAAACUCCUACGGGAGGCAGCAGUGGGGAAUAUUGCACAAUGGGCGAAAGCCUGAUGCAGCAACGCCGCGUGAGCGAUGAAGGCCUUCGGGUCGUAAAGCUCUGUCCUCAAGGAAGAUAAUGACGGUACUUGAGGAGGAAGCCCCGGCUAACUACGUGCCAGCAGCCGCGGUAAUACGUAGGGGGCUAGCGUUAUCCGGAAUUACUGGGCGUAAAGGGUGCGUAGGCGGUCUUUCAAGUCAGAAGUGAAAGGCUACGGCUCAACCGUAGUAAGCUUUUGAAACUGUAAGACUUGAGUGCAGGAGAGGAGAGUGGAAUUCCUAGUGUAGCGGUGAAAUGCGUAGAUAUUAGGAGGAACACCAGUUGCGAAGGCGGCUCUCUGGACUGUAACUGACGCUGAGGCACGAAAGCGUGGGG